RNAcentral lists this ribosomal RNA (252 nucleotides) under uncultured bacterium. Its description in RNAcentral is "partial 16S ribosomal RNA". It matches the Rfam family "Bacterial small subunit ribosomal RNA", at positions 103 to 354 of the family's 1533-position model. The record is from RNAcentral.
CGGGUGAGUAACGCGUGAGGAACCUGCCUUUCAGAGGGGGACAACAGUUGGAAACGACUGCUAAUACCGCAUAAGCACCCAGUUUCGCAUGAAACAGAGUGAAAAGAGUAAAUCGGUGUAAGAUGGCUCUGCGUCUGAUUAGCUAGUUGGUGGGGUAAAGGCUCACCAAGGCGACGAUCAGUAGCCGGCCUGAGAGGGCGACCGGCCACAUUGGGACUGAGACACGGCCCAGACUCCUACGGAAGGCAGCAG